UACAAUGAAAAGUUAUGGGGAUCUGGCUGUGUUCUAUUACAGACUUCAGCAUACGGAGUUGGCCCUCAAGUAUGAUUUACUCUUCUGGCUUCAAAAUUUGGGUCUGAAUGAACAAAACAUGCUUUAUACCUAUCUUGUUUUAAUAUUGUUCCAACGUUGUGGCGAGUGAUCGCCUUGUGGUCUAGGUGAUGCACGCUAUGUUCUUUCUUCUGCUGGUCAUGCUUAUGUUCAUCAUUAGAAGGGGGUCAGAAAGGUAUGUGAAGCGUGCUUUAUAUCUUCUGCAUCUCACAUGUGGCCCUUCACACCCAAACACUGCUGCAACAUACAUCAAUGUGGCCAUG
This 341-nucleotide unclassified non-coding RNA is filed under the name Hevea brasiliensis (rubber tree). Lineage: Eukaryota; Viridiplantae; Streptophyta; Magnoliopsida; Malpighiales; Euphorbiaceae. The record is from RNAcentral.